This 280-nucleotide long non-coding RNA is filed under the name Lathyrus oleraceus (garden pea). RNAcentral describes it as "Pisum sativum (pea) long non-coding RNA (PSAT_LNC031930)". The record is from RNAcentral. Lineage: Eukaryota; Viridiplantae; Streptophyta; Magnoliopsida; Fabales; Fabaceae.
CCAACCUGAGGAUUGUUGGAUGUGCCACGUUAAUUAAUGAGGUCAGAUCCAACACUCAAUAUUUUUUAUGAUUUUAUUUCUUUUUCUAUAUUUAUUUUUAAUUUCAUUUUCUUUUAAAAUUCAUAGAAAUAUCAUAUUACAUCCAAAAAAUCUCAAAAUAAUUUCUAAAAUACUCUUGUAUUUUCUUCAUCUGAUUUUAUUUUUUCACAUUCAUUUUAUUGAUUUUCUAUUUUUCAUGGAAUUUAUCUUUUUUCCUUUGUUUUAAUUGGUUUAAAAAAAC